RNAcentral lists this ribosomal RNA (510 nucleotides) under uncultured bacterium. RNAcentral's name for it is "partial 16S ribosomal RNA". The record is from RNAcentral.
GGAGUUAGCCGGUGCUUCUUCUGUGAGUGAUGUCCUUCCUGCCGGUUAUUGACCCGCAGGCCUUCUUCCUCACUGAAAGUGCUUUACAACCCGAAGGCCUUCUUCACACACGCGGCAUGGCUGGAUCAGGGUUGCCCCCAUUGUCCAAUAUUCCCCACUGCUGCCUCCCGUAGGAGUCUGGGCCGUGUCUCAGUCCCAGUGUGGCUGAUCAUCCUCUCAGACCAGCUACGGAUCGUCGCCUUGGUGAGCCGUUACCUCACCAACCAGCUAAUCCGACAUAGGCUCAUCCGAUAGCGCGAGGCCCGAAGGUCCCCCGCUUUCCCCCGUAGGGCGUAUGCGGUAUUAGCCUGGGUUUCCCCCAGGGUUAUCCCCCACUACCGGGGCAGAUUCCUAUGCAUUACUCACCCGUCCGCCGCUCGCCACCAGGGAGCAAGCUCCCCGUGCUGCCGCUCGACUUGCAUGUGUUAGGCCUGCCGCCAGCGUUCAAUCUGAGCCAGGAUCAAACUCUGA